Long non-coding RNA from Myzus persicae (green peach aphid), 648 nucleotides. RefSeq lists it as uncharacterized. The transcript has 4 exons. The record is from RefSeq and is a predicted model, not a curated record. Lineage: Eukaryota; Metazoa; Arthropoda; Insecta; Hemiptera; Aphididae.
AAUUGCAUUUAUAUUGGCUACAUUACAAAAAAUGACUCCACUCAUGGUUCCCUCUAUAAGCAAUGGACCUUGAUAAAACCUAUUAAAAUGGAGAAUUUUGUAGUGUCAUUGCAAAACAUUCAUUAUCAGCUGCCGUCAAUAAAUCGUGCAAAUUUGCCAGGUUUCGUGGUGUCUGAAGGAAAAACGUACGUCUUAAACGCCGCAUCCUCUCUACACUCUGUAGAAAUGUAUAGUUCUCUGCAGCCUCUGGAAAAUUAAUUCAUAAAUCAUAUCAAAAACAAGUAAAUAAGGAUAUCAAAACUAACCAUCACCUAUGCAUAGUUGCAUACCUUUUGUAAAAACUGGACAAAAAAAACUUACAAAAUAAGCAAAAAACUAGUUUAUAGCUCUCUCAGUUAUCUCCUGUCGAAGCAGUGGGACAUUGAGGUUGGACUCUCUGACACCAUGACAAUGGAGCUUUGACAGUGUCAACCUAUCAUCGUUGCGGUCCGGAGAUAUAUGAGCAGUUGCAUGGCACUGUCCUUCCAAUUUUUUUUCGUAACAUGACAAAUAACUAAAAUUACAUGAACCCAAGAUUAUCCCUUAUAAUUUCUGUAGCUCUUUGAAUGCCUAAAACUACAAUGUAGGACUGUGGUCUUGCUACAGCAA